GCCAUCCUUAGAAGGUGGAUGCAGAGAUCCUGUACAUUUUGUAAUUUGUGUUUUCGGCUGUUACCACUCGGGCAUGUUUCUAGUCAUUUGAACUUUCAGCAUUUAUAUUUUGUACAUAUACAAACUUCAACCAUGUGUGGGGGAUUCACAUGUUCCAAGAAUGCUCUUACAGCGCUCAACAUUAUGUAUAUUAUUGUCUCCUUCAUUCUCAUUGGUGUGGCCGCAUAUGGCCGUGUGUCGAGCAUCGUGACAAACAUCACCAUAUUUGGUGCGGUGAUUGCCUGCGGCGUGUUCCUGCUGCUCCUCUCCCUUGUUGGUCUCAUCGGAGCAGUCAAGCACCACCAAGUGCUGCUCUUCUUUUACAUGGUGAUCCUGUUCCUGCUCUUCGUGGUACAAUUCAGUGUUGCUUGUGCCUGUCUGGCCAUGACGGAGGACCAGGAACGAGAGUUAGCCAGCCAGGGCUGGAAGAAGGCCUCACCUGCCGUCAGAGCCCAAGCAGAGCGCUUAUUCCGAUGCUGUGGCUUUGAACGCAAUGCCUCGGACCCCACAGCGGAGCUACAGUGUGAGCAUGUGCCGACGUGCUGCCCACCACAGGAGAUUCCCCCUAAUGGCACAUGUGAAUGCGAAGGAUGCUGGUCUGCUCUGCAUCAAGCUAUUCGCAAUGGGCUCAAGAUCACAGGUGGCAUAGGAAUGUUCUUCAGCUUCACGGAGUUCAUCGGGGUGUGGUUGACAGUGCGGUACCGCAACCAGAAGGAUCCUCGUGCUAACCCUAGCGCCUUUCUGUAACCACUAACCCCACUAUCCGGUGGCUUCUUGAAAUGGCUCUUUUGCAAGGGGGCUCUCUCUGGCGCCACAAGUUGGUGGCUGUGUUUGUGGCUUACCGUUACCGGCUUCAAAAAGACCCUGAGGUGGAUCCUUACCUUCUGCUGGGUGGAGGAGCUCAUGUCACGUGACAAGCCACCCAUCUGUCUAUGUCUUCUCUGCAUAUUUUCUGACAUUCCCCGCA
This 1006-nucleotide unclassified non-coding RNA is filed under the name Dermacentor andersoni. Its description in RNAcentral is "tetraspanin-13-like". Lineage: Eukaryota; Metazoa; Arthropoda; Arachnida; Ixodida; Ixodidae. The record is from RNAcentral.